CCCUUAGAUGCUCUGGGCCGCACGCGCGCUACACUGACUGGUGCAACAAGUGUCGCUCCUUGGCCGAUAGGCCUGGGCAAUCUUUGAACGCCAGUCGUGAUGGGGAUAGAUUCUUGCAAUUUUUGAUCUUCAACGAGGAAUUCCUAGUAAACGCGAGUCAUCAACUCGCAUUGAUUACGUCCCUGCCCUUUGUACACACCGCCCGUCGCACCUACCGAUUGAAUGGUCCGGUGAACCCUCCGGAUCGGCCCGCGCCAACGCAAGUUGAGCAAAGGCCGAGAAGUUGGGUAAACCUUACCAUUUAGAGGAAGGUGAAGUCGUAACA
Molecule: ribosomal RNA, 325 nt
Filed under: uncultured eukaryote
Lineage: Eukaryota
Description: partial 18S ribosomal RNA
Rfam family: Eukaryotic small subunit ribosomal RNA
Source: RNAcentral